GGGCGGUUAGCUCAGUUGGUUAGAGCGCCUGCCUUACAAGCAGGAUGUCGGGGGUUCGAGUCCCUCACUGCCCACCA
Molecule: transfer RNA, 77 nt
Filed under: Janthinobacterium lividum
Lineage: Bacteria; Pseudomonadati; Pseudomonadota; Betaproteobacteria; Burkholderiales; Oxalobacteraceae
Also listed under: 36 other names
Description: tRNA-Val
Rfam family: tRNA
About the family: Transfer RNA (tRNA) molecules are approximately 80 nucleotides in length.
Source: RNAcentral